AAAAAAAAAAAGCAAAAAAAAAAAAAAAAAGAAAAAAAAAAUUGUUGCAGCGGAAGGAGCAAAAGCUAUUGCUAGAUUUGUGCUACCUCGAGAAAAUCCUGAAUCUUAUACUAGGACUAAUGCGGAAAGAUACAUGGACUCAUGGAGGUGAAAAUUUUGAGAUAUUUGCAUCUGAACGUCGAAGCUUUCAAGAAACUCUAAAAGAGAGCAAAGUUGAUAUCUUCAUUCGACAAAUUUUCUUGGUGUAAGAGGGCUUGUGAUUGGAGGAAACGUUGUGCAUAGAUCUUUUUGUGUAAAAGGUGUUUGAGAAAAAGCCGAGCCCAUCUUGAUGUGUUUUAAUGUUAGGAAGUGUAGGUAACCUGAACGAAUCAAUGACAAUCAAUCUGAGUCUUCCAAUUCCGGCACUCCUUCCUCAAUCAAUCCCUUUGAUCUUCUCAACGACCAAGAUGACCCUUAUGACCAGGUGUAAGUCAAUUCAAAGACAAACGGAGAGAAUACAAGAAAUCAAGAAAACUGAAAAGAAAAUGAUAUCCUUGUUUUCUGUCGAAGAGGUGAAUGUGGGGCCGUGAUUGCUAGAAAUCAGAUAAAAAUUCUGUGGAAGGAUGAUGACUACAUUGAACCCUGUUGAGCUUUUACCAGCAAGUUCAAUUCGUUGAUGUCAUUGAUGAUUGAAUCAUGGUUGUGAUAUCGUUAUUUUCAACUAUCAUUGAGUUAUGUUUGUAAAUGAGUUGUAUUGUUUCCAAGAGAGGUGGCACAGACUAAAUUCAGUUCUUUAUAUAUUAUCAAUAUUGAUGGUUUAGUUUGUCAA
This is a long non-coding RNA of Quercus lobata, 808 nucleotides long. RefSeq lists it as uncharacterized. The record is from RefSeq and is a predicted model, not a curated record. The transcript is spliced from 4 exons. NCBI's taxonomy places the organism in Eukaryota, Viridiplantae, Streptophyta, Magnoliopsida, Fagales, Fagaceae.